ACUCGACUCCAUGAAGUCGGAAUCGCUAGUAAUCGCAAAUCAGAAUGUUGCGGUGAAUACGUUCCCGGGCCUUGUACACACCGCCCGUCACACCAUGGGAGUGGGUUGCACCAGAAGUAGAUAGCUUAACCUNCGGGAGGGCGUUUACCACGGUGUGAUUCAUGACUGGGGUGAAGUCGUAACAAGGUAACCCUAGGGGAACCUGGGGUUGGAUCACCUCCUUACCUUAA
RNAcentral lists this ribosomal RNA (230 nucleotides) under Aeromonas caviae. RNAcentral's name for it is "partial 16S ribosomal RNA". It matches the Rfam family "Bacterial small subunit ribosomal RNA", at positions 1310 to 1533 of the family's 1533-position model. Lineage: Bacteria; Pseudomonadati; Pseudomonadota; Gammaproteobacteria; Aeromonadales; Aeromonadaceae. The record is from RNAcentral.